This 502-nucleotide ribosomal RNA is filed under the name uncultured bacterium. RNAcentral describes it as "partial 16S ribosomal RNA". It matches the Rfam family "Bacterial small subunit ribosomal RNA", at positions 28 to 507 of the family's 1533-position model. The record is from RNAcentral.
GACGAACGCUGGCGGCGUGCUUAACACAUGCAAGUCGAACGGUGAAGGGGUCUGCUUUUGUGGGCCCUGGAUGAGUGGUGAACGGGUGAGUAACACGUGAGUAACCUGCCCCCUUCUUCUGGAUAACCGCAUGAGAGUGUGGCUAAUACGGGAUAUUCUGGGUCUGUCGCAUGAUGGGUCUGGGAAAGAUUGCGCCUUUGGGUGUUUUUGGUGGGGGAUGGGCUCGCGGCCUAUCAGCUUGUUGGUGGGGUGAUGGCCUACCAAGGCGGUGACGGGUAGCCGGCCUGAGAGGGUGGACGGUCACACUGGGACUGAGACACGGCCCAGACUCCUACGGGAGGCAGCAGUGGGGAAUAUUGCACAAUGGGCGCAAGCCUGAUGCAGCGACGCCGCGUGAGGGAUGGAGGCCUUCGGGUUGUAAACCUCUUUCGCCAGUGAAGCAGGCCUGCUCCUUGUGGGUGGGUUGACGGUAGCUGGAUAAGAAGCGCCGGCUAACUACGUG